RNAcentral lists this ribosomal RNA (492 nucleotides) under uncultured bacterium. RNAcentral describes it as "partial 16S ribosomal RNA". It matches the Rfam family "Bacterial small subunit ribosomal RNA", at positions 29 to 507 of the family's 1533-position model. The record is from RNAcentral.
AGUGAACGCUGGCGGUAGGCCUAACACAUGCAAGUCGAACGGCAGCACAGUAAGAGCUUGCUCUUACGGGUGGCGAGUGGCGGACGGGUGAGGAAUACAUCGGAAUCUACUUUUUCGUGGGGGAUAACGUAGGGAAACUUACGCUAAUACCGCAUACGACCUACGGGUGAAAGCAGGGGAUCUUCGGACCUUGCGCGAUUGAAUGAGCCGAUGUCGGAUUAGCUAGUUGGCGGGGUAAAGGCCCACCAAGGCGACGAUCCGUAGCUGGUCUGAGAGGAUGAUCAGCCACACUGGAACUGAGACACGGUCCAAACUCCUACGGGAGGCAGCAGUGGGGAAUAUUGGACAAUGGGCGCAAGCCUGAUCCAGCCAUACCGCGUGGGUGAAGAAGGCCUUCGGGUUGUAAAGCCCUUUUGUUGGGAAAGAAAAGCAGCAGGUUAAUACCCCGCUGUUCUGACGUUACCCAAAGAAUAAGCACCGGCUAACUUCGUG